This 912-nucleotide ribosomal RNA is filed under the name uncultured Chlorobiota bacterium. RNAcentral's name for it is "bacterial SSU rRNA". It matches the Rfam family "Bacterial small subunit ribosomal RNA", at positions 8 to 916 of the family's 1533-position model. Lineage: Bacteria; Pseudomonadati; Chlorobiota. The record is from RNAcentral.
AGAGUUUGAUCCUGGCUCAGGACGAACGCUGGCGGCGUGCCUAACAUCAUGCAAGUCAACGAGAAAGGGGUAGCAAUAUCCCGAGUACAGUGGCGCACGGGUGAGUAACACGUAGGCAAUCUGCCUUCAGGACGGGGAUAAUUUCGCGAAAGCGGGACUAAUACCCGAUUAUGCAGCGGCACCGCAUGGUGACAGUUGUUAAAAGCCGCAAGGCGCCUGGAGAUGAGCCUGCGUCCCAUUAGGUAGUUGGCGGGGUAACGGCCCACCAAGCCUGCGAUGGGUAGCUGGUCUGAGAGGAUGGCCAGCCACACUGGAACUGAAACACGGUCCAGACUCCUACGGGAGGCAGCAGUGAGGAAUAUUGCGCAAUGGCCGAAAGGCUGACGCAGCGACGCCGCGUGAGGGAUGAAGUCCGUUGGGAUGUAAACCUCUUUUGCAGGGGAUGAAGCUGUCGCUACAGGCGACAGUCGACCGUACCCUGCGAAUAAGGGUCGGCUAACUACGUGCCAGCAGCCGCGGUAAUACGUAGGACCCGAGCGUUGUCCGGAUUUACUGGGUGUAAAGGGCGUGUAGGUGGGCGCUUAAGUCGAUGGUGAAAUCCUGCGGCUCAACCGUAGAAUUGCCGUCGAUACUGGGCGUCUUGAGUGCGGCAGAGGGAGAUGGAAUUCAUGGUGUAGCGGUGAAAUGUGUAGAUAUCAUGAAGAACACCGGUAGCGAAGGCGGUCUCCUGGUCCGUUACUGACACUGAGGCGCGAAAGCGUGGGGAGCAAACAGGAUUAGAUACCCUGGUAGUCCACGCCUUAAACGAUGGGUACUAGGUGCUGGGCCGCAAGGUCCAGUGCCAAAGCUAACGCAUUAAGUACCCCACCUGGGGAGUACGAUCGCAAGGUUGAAACUCAAAGGAAUUGACGG